RNAcentral lists this ribosomal RNA (253 nucleotides) under uncultured bacterium. Its description in RNAcentral is "partial 16S ribosomal RNA". It matches the Rfam family "Bacterial small subunit ribosomal RNA", at positions 524 to 776 of the family's 1533-position model. The record is from RNAcentral.
UACGUAGGGGGCAAGCGUUGUCCGGAAUUAUUGGGCGUAAAGAGCUCGUAGGCGGUUUGUCGCGUCUGCUGUGAAAACUCGGGGCUUAACCCCGGGCCUGCAGUGGGUACGGGCAGACUAGAGUGCGGUAGGGGAGACUGGAAUUCCUGGUGUAGCGGUGAAAUGCGCAGAUAUCAGGAGGAACGCCGGUGGCGAAGGCGGGUCUCUGGGCCGUAACUGACGCUGAGACGCGAAAGCGUGGGGAGCGAACCGG